AAAGUUUAACCUGCCCAAUGAUUAGUAAAAAAAUUGAAUGGCCGCGGUAUUUUGACCGUGCAAAGGUAGCAUAAUCGUUAGUUUUUUAAUUGGAAUCUUGUAUGAAUGGUUGGACAAAAGAAAAUCUGUCUUUAUAUUAUAAAUUGAAUUUAACUUUUAAGUGAAAAGGCUUAAAUAAAUUAAAGUGACGAUAAGACCCUAUAAAGCUUUAUAUGAAUAUAUUAUUUAAUUGAAUUUUAAAUAAAAAUUUAGUAAUUAAAUUUAUUUUAUUGGGGAGAUAAAGGUAAAAUUUUUAUUAACUGCUUUAAAUUUAAUACAUUUAUAAAUGAUUAAAAUUUUAAAUGAUCCUAGAUAAAGAUUAAUAGUUUAAGUUACUUUAGGGAUAACAGCGUUAUUUUUUUUGAGAGUACUUAUCGAAAAAAAAGUUUGCGACCUCGAUGUUGAAUUAAAAUUUCUUUAUAAUUGCAGAAGUUAUAAAAGUAGGUCUGUUCGCCUA
RNAcentral lists this ribosomal RNA (496 nucleotides) under Varuna litterata. RNAcentral describes it as "partial large subunit ribosomal RNA". Lineage: Eukaryota; Metazoa; Arthropoda; Malacostraca; Decapoda; Varunidae. The record is from RNAcentral.